CGUAGGGUGCAAGCGUUAUCCGGAAUUAUUGGGCGUAAAGAGCUCGUAGGCGGUUUGUCGCGUCUGCUGUGAAAACCCGAGGCUCAACUCGGGCCUGCAGUGGGUACGGGCAGACUAGAGUGCGGUAGGGGAGAUUGGAAUUCCUGGUGUAGCGGUGGAAUGCGCAGAUAUCAGGAGGAACACCGAUGGCGAAGGCAGAUCUCUGGGCCGUAACUGACGCUGAGGAGCGAAAGGGUGGGGAGCAAACAGGCUUAGAUACCCUGGUAGUCCACCCCGUAAACGUUGGGAACUAGUUGUGGGGUCCAUUCCACGGAUUCCGUGACGCAGCUAACGCAUUAAGUUCCCCGCCUGGGGAGUACGGCCGCAAAGCUA
Molecule: ribosomal RNA, 372 nt
Filed under: uncultured organism
Description: bacterial SSU rRNA
Rfam family: Bacterial small subunit ribosomal RNA
Source: RNAcentral